AUGCAGCUGAUUUGCAGCUCUGUUGUAUUGCGAGUUUUUUUGUCGUCGAGGGCUCAGACCAGUUCUGCGGUGUUUCCGUUUUUGUUGUUGCUUUCUUUUGGCAGGGUCGAUGUGGUAUUCCACUGUUGCAGUCACGUUUGUACCAAGCUAUCUAUCGGCAGAGUGGUGGUCCAUAUUCAGCCUGACUCUGUUAGUCUGUUACUGGUCUUUGUGGAAAUUGGAGAUUUUUAUGUG
Molecule: non-coding RNA, 234 nt
Organism: Vicia faba (fava bean)
Lineage: Eukaryota; Viridiplantae; Streptophyta; Magnoliopsida; Fabales; Fabaceae
Source: the annotation of a GenBank genome assembly